This 468-nucleotide ribosomal RNA is filed under the name uncultured bacterium. Its description in RNAcentral is "partial 16S ribosomal RNA". It matches the Rfam family "Bacterial small subunit ribosomal RNA", at positions 28 to 507 of the family's 1533-position model. The record is from RNAcentral.
GACGAACGCUGGCGGCGUGCUUAACACAUGCAAGUCGAACGGCAACGCCCUGCUUUUGUGGGGUGCUCGAGUGGCGAACGGGUGAGUAACACGUGAGUAACCUGCCCUUGACUUUGGGUUAACUUCAGGAAACUGGGGCUAAUACCGGAUCGGAGCUCCUGCUGCAUGGUGGGGGUUUGAAAGUUUGCGCGGUUGGGGAUGGACUCGCGGCUUAUCAGCUUGUUGGUGGGGUAGUGGUUUACCAAGGCCUUGACGGGUAGCCGGCCUGAGAGGGUGACCGGCCACAUUGGGACUGAGAUACGGCCCAGACGCCUACGGGAGGCAGCGGGGGGGAGUAUUGCACAGUGAGCGGAAGCCUGAGACAGCGACGCCGCGUGCGGGAUGACGGCCUUCGGGUUGUAAACCGCUUGCGCCUGUGACGAAGCGUGAGUGACGGUAAUGGAUGAAGAAGCACCGGCUAACUACGUG